RNAcentral lists this long non-coding RNA (462 nucleotides) under Lathyrus oleraceus (garden pea). Its description in RNAcentral is "Pisum sativum (pea) long non-coding RNA (PSAT_LNC002522)". The record is from RNAcentral. Lineage: Eukaryota; Viridiplantae; Streptophyta; Magnoliopsida; Fabales; Fabaceae.
CACGUUUCCCCAGGCAGUAUAUCCUUGAUAUAUUCAUCCUAAUCGAUGGCGGAUAUUCUCCCUUUGUUGGUAUUCUACCCAGUAAAAAGGUAGUUGUAAUCCCUAUUUUCAUUCCCUAGAGAGUUAAUACUUGAUAUGUUCAUCCUAACCGAUGACCGAUUUUCUCCCUUUUUGGUAUUCUAUCCAUUAACUGGUAGAUAUAAAUCCUACUUCUCCCCUCAUAGUUAAUCCUAGUUAUGUUCAUCCUAACCGAUGACGGAUUUUCUCCCUUUGUGGUUUUCUACCCAGUAAAAGGUAGUCGUAAAUCCUGCUUCCCCCCGUUAAGUCUAUCCUUGAUAUGUUCAUCCUAACUGGUGACUGAUAUUCUCUUUUUGGUAUUCUAUCUAGUAACUGAUAUAUAUAUAAUUCCUAUUUUUCCCCAACGGUCUAUCCUUAAUAUAUUCAUCCUAACCGAUGACGGAU